Molecule: ribosomal RNA, 612 nt
Filed under: Triticum aestivum (bread wheat)
Lineage: Eukaryota; Viridiplantae; Streptophyta; Magnoliopsida; Poales; Poaceae
Description: partial small subunit ribosomal RNA
Source: RNAcentral
UACGAAUUUAUCUCCCAAGGUAGCUUGCAUGAUAUUCUUCACAAAGAAAAUAACAAGGUGCCUCUCAACUUGGAUACCCGUUUAAAUAUCAUUGCACAGUCAGCGGAUGGUCUAGCUUAUAUGCACUCAAAAGCAAAUAUUAAGAUUCUACAUGGUGAUGUUAAACCAGCAAAUAUACUCUUGGAUGAUAACUUUGUACCCAAGAUUUCAGACUUUGGCAUAUCUAGGCUGAUUGCAAGAGACAAGGAACACACUACAUCAAUCAUUGGCGACAUGAGUUAUAUGGAUCCGGUGUAUCUACAAGAAGGCCUGCUCACCAAAAAAAGUGAUGUUUACAGUUUCGGGGUUGUAAUCUUGGAGCUUAUUAGCAGGAGGAGGGCCAUGCAUUCUGACAAUAAUAAGUUGGUAAAGAAUUUUCUUGAAGCCCAUAAGAAACAAAAGAAAGCGACUGAGUUUUUUGACAAAGAAAUUGCGAUGACAGAAGAUUUGGAGCUUCUUGACAGUCUAGCAGGUCUGGCUGUGGAAUGCCUUAGCCUUGACGUGGAUGAAAGACCAACGAUGAUGGAGGUAGCUGAGAGGCUACUCAUACUAGGCCGAUCUCGAAAGGUGUAA